This 506-nucleotide ribosomal RNA is filed under the name uncultured bacterium. Its description in RNAcentral is "partial 16S ribosomal RNA". It matches the Rfam family "Bacterial small subunit ribosomal RNA", at positions 28 to 523 of the family's 1533-position model. The record is from RNAcentral.
GAUGAACGCUAGCUACAGGCUUAACACAUGCAAGUCGAGGGGUAACGAGAGGGAAGCUUGCUUUCCUUGUCGACGACCGGCGCACGGGUGAGUAACGCGUAUCCAACCUGCCCCCAACUAAGGAAUAACCUUGCGAAAGUAAGACUAAUACCCUAUAAUUUCCUCGGAUGACAUCUGACGAGGAAUAAAGAUUUAUCGGUUGUGGAUGGGGAUGCGUCUGAUUAGCUUGUUGGCGGGGUAACGGCCCACCAAGGCAACGAUCAGUAGGGGUUCGGAGAGGAAGGUCCCCCACAUUGGAACUGAGACACGGUCCAAACUCCUACGGGAGGCAGCAGUGAAGAAUAUUGGUCAAUGGGCGGAAGCCUGAACCAGCCAAGUAGCGUGCAGGAUGACGGCCCUAUGGGUUGUAAACUGCUUUUAUACAGGAAUAAAGUUAGCCACGUGUGGUUAUUUGUAGGUACUGUAUGAAUAAGGACCGGCUAAUUCCGUGCCGGCCGCCGCCGUAA